AACGCACCUUGCACUCCUUGGUAUUCCGAGGAGUAUGCCUGUUUGAGUGUCAUGAAAUCAUCAACUCCAUAGUUUUGUUACUGUGAAGCUUGGACUUGGAAGCUGCUGGCUCUGUCGGCUCUUCUUAAAUAUAUUAGCUGCUUGUCCGUGGGUUGGCUCAGAGUGUGAUAAGUAUCUGCACUUGGUGGCUGCUCGCUUUGGAUGUGGCUUCUAAUCGUCUUUGGACAAUUUUUAAGAUCUGACCUCAAAUCAGGUAGGACUACCCGCUGAACUUAA
RNAcentral lists this unclassified non-coding RNA (276 nucleotides) under uncultured fungus. RNAcentral describes it as "partial contains 5.8S ribosomal RNA, internal transcribed spacer 2, and large subunit ribosomal RNA". The stretch from base 1 to 52 matches the Rfam family "5.8S ribosomal RNA", at positions 103 to 154 of the family's 154-position model. The record is from RNAcentral. Lineage: Eukaryota; Fungi.